UUUAUUUGUUUUUCAAAGCAACAGCCAACAAUAAAAACUAAUUCAAGAAAACAAAUAUAACAUGGACCAGGAUCCCCUAUUAUUUAUAGGAAAAUGAAACUAAGUAACUAUCAUUUCAGUGAGAGAUUACGAUCAUGGCAAUUGCCUUGUUAAACUAUUUUCUGCCGAACGUGCAUUAUAUUGAAUUGGUGCCUUAAUUAAUACACCAAAUGUUGAAUGAUCAAGUUUACAGGGAGAACUCAAUGGGGGCAAGAUAUACAUAUUGAUUUUAUUUCCGACAACCUUUUCCUACUUCAUGAUUUGUUGUAGAUAUGUUAGAUUGGUGUGUGUCUAUAUAUAUAUAUACACAUACACACGUUGACUUUGGUCAAUAACAUCCGUCAACGUUACAUAUCUGAAGGUAAUGUAUUCAAAUCAUUCUAAUUUUUUUUGCACUUGUUGCGUUGUUUUAUGUCAUUAUAUAACUUGAAUGUUGUAAAAUUGUUCGUAAAUCCAUCAUUUCAUUUUAGUGAUGUUGAAUUUAUGUUAUUUCUU
This 534-nucleotide long non-coding RNA is filed under the name Medicago truncatula (barrel medic). RNAcentral's name for it is "lncRNA gene49724". The record is from RNAcentral. Lineage: Eukaryota; Viridiplantae; Streptophyta; Magnoliopsida; Fabales; Fabaceae.